CCUGUGGUUUCUGUGGUCUGAACUCCAGGAAAUGAAGGCGGACAUCUUGGAUUCACACAGCCUUGUAGCUGUCAAUCAGAGAGGAACCUGCAGCGUUCAAAGACCUGUCAGGAAAUAUACAUUUGAAUUAUAAUUCACUCAAGGUCAUCACAAAGUCUUAGUCUGGUGACUAAGACUCUGAGUCAUCUGAAGCUUUUGUUUUUCGCACUAAUGCUCUUAUUGUUUUUACCCAUGAUUCACUUCUCGGUGCACUUUGGUGAUUUGGAAAACUAAAAUGAAUAAGAAACUAAAACAAUGCUCUUUUCAUUACAGUGUUUGAACCAAAUAGGUCAACCUGAUUAUGGCCUGAAAAUAAAUAUUUUCCAUCCCUCAGGACAUUGUCAACAGCCCAGACCUGGACAGGUUAGACUGUUAUUAGCUCUUAAUUAAGGUGCAGACCUGUUUGUCGAAAACAACAAGGAGCUCAGAUGAGUGACAGUGCGACCAUAUUUGGGACAGAGUAAUUAAUUGAAUGUAUUCAUUCACAGCCUUCAUAUUUACUCAGGGAUGUUUUACGUUGGCUUCACUAACAAUGACAGAUCACACUGUGGACCAGUCUUUAGUGAUGACCUGGUGAACUCUCCAGGAUGUAACCCCCUCCUUUGCUCGAUGACUGAUGACUGAAGAUGACUGCUGGGAUUGGCUCCACCCCCCACGUUCAUGAAGAGCUCUGAGAGUUCACCAAGAUUAUAAAAAAAUGACGGACUAUUUAACAUGUACCAUUCUAUGGUUUGACGUCUUACAUUAAGCAGAAUUAUUCAACACAAGGACUCCCAAAGUGUGGGGCGUGUACCCCGAGUGUGAGGAAGCUCCGUGAGGUAAAAACAAUGUGAUGGCGGCUUAGAGUGGUGGUUUUUAAGUGGGAUUUUACCACACAAUAAGGAUGUGAAAAUAAACAUUUCUUUAAUCAAAAGUUGACUUUUUAAUGUAUAAAUAAAUGCAGGCCAUAUAUGUGUGUGUUAUAUGUGUGCUGUGUGCUGUCAUUUGAGCAUGAUUACACAUGAUUACAUUCUGCAUUUAUAGGAAUGCUUGUUGUGUUUAUUUUUUUUUUUCUCUCAAAAGUGUCGGGAUUUGAGGGUGUGUCGACCCAGUUGGGAUGUAGAACUUUUGCGAGUUGUUGGUUUAGUACACUGUCUUUUGAAGCAAUGGGUGUAAAAUGUUGAACAUUACUUAACACCUGAAAGUAGAAUUCAAGAUUUUUGUUUAAUUUCCCAUCUUGUCUGGAAGAAAUCGGUGAAGAAUCAUUGCAAUUUUAACAACUUUUUUAUUUUGUAAGAGUUACUGCCUUUUAUAUAAAGUACAUAUAUUUCAGUGGUGUUUCUUUUUAUAUUAUUUAAAUCUGUCACCUAACAACCUAAUAAGGUUCAAAAUGACAUGCCAUUUAAAGUAUUUUGUUUCAAUACUUAUUUGUGCGUCAAAGUGAAUUAUUUAUGCUCACGCUUGUGUAAGCAAACCCCUGUGUUUCACCUUGCAUGUAGGACCGUCAUCAUGACAAUAAUCGAAAAUAGGUUGCAGAGCUGUAACAGCACUUGCGUACG
Cynoglossus semilaevis (tongue sole) is the source of this 1577-nucleotide long non-coding RNA. RefSeq lists it as uncharacterized. The record is from RefSeq and is a predicted model, not a curated record. The transcript has 3 exons. Lineage: Eukaryota; Metazoa; Chordata; Actinopteri; Pleuronectiformes; Cynoglossidae.